CUCCAAUACACAUCGCAUGUUGCUUUCGGGAAAUGACUCGAGUAGUGAGGAUUUUCAUGUCGUCAGCCUGGAAAACUGCGAUGACAUCAGCUUUUGAGGGAUAUUCUGCAUUCGAAUAUCUUCUUUCAACCAGUCGCGCUGAGUGACAAGCACAGUUCUGUAUGAUGACCUCCGCAUUCCGACCGACGAUGCUGAAUUCUGAUUGUGGCCGUUUCAUCGGGUUACCACGCUUGUGAUAUUGCGGGCACCAGCGAACAAGACAAAGUUGCAGUGAAAUCUGCGCCUGAUAUUCCAAGCUUGGAUUCCUGCCUGAGCAAGAGCUCCACCGCUAUAUUGAGGAUCGGGAUGCCCAGCUACAUGAGGAUUGACCUGAGCAAAUGCUGUUUGUUUUUAAACAUGAAGGGGAUUUUUUAUUUCUCGUUCAUUCGGGAGGAGACAAGUCAAGAUGCAAAGCAGACCACGCUUCGGAGUUUUCCUGAGGCGCAUUACAAACGAUCAUGUCAGCCCGGAACUCGCAUCCUUCGAACAGCUUCUGGAGGGGUCAAAAGCUCUGGUUCCGUAUGAGGAUGAGAUCAUCAAGACACGGAAUUUUUUUUGUCGUUGUUAGUAAGUACCCAUUAUAUUUAGAUAGUGACAUCAUGACUUAAUGUCUCUCAAUGUCUGAGGUUGACAUCAACCUUGUAAUACACACUUGGCGAGUAUCAAUAACAUGAUGAUUACAGUUGCAUAUGACUUUCUGUUCUUUCAGUUUGUUUUUCUCUCCUCUUUUCAACUUGAUGCAACCCUUUCAACAGUUGACAAUGGCUUCUGCAGGGCUCACUCCGCAACACAGCGUUCUGCAGGCUGUAGCACACAAUUCCUGCUCCAUAUCCAAAAGGGGGACUGUAACACUUGCUUAGAGGAUUGAUCCCCUGUUCAUCUUUUGUUCUUUUCCGAACUUUCACAAGUUUUGUUCCCAACAAGCCCACCUACAGCUGCAAGGAACUGUCAAAAUGAAAUGAUAGUCUGUUUUUUGUUGUUGGAGGAUUUGAUAUUGCACAAUUUGUGCAUUCCAGUAAAACGUGUUGUAGUUUUCAACACCCUGUUGAUUGGCAAAUCUUAGUGGAUCUGUCAAUAAUUUUUUUCAAUAAUAUCUGUCAAUAAUAUUUGUCCCCUACCUAGUCAAUCAAUAAUCUACAACUAUCACAACAAUGAUAGUCAUUUGACUAAAUAAAAAAUUCCAAUCAAUAGUUCAAAAUCAAUCUUUGAUGCAAGAUUGUAUGUUGAUUAUGUGAUUGAAUCUAAGA
This 1286-nucleotide long non-coding RNA is filed under the name Physcomitrium patens. Its description in RNAcentral is "long non-coding RNA (PPAT_LNC002778)". Lineage: Eukaryota; Viridiplantae; Streptophyta; Bryopsida; Funariales; Funariaceae. The record is from RNAcentral.